CCUGUGGGCUCUCAGGGUUGGGGAGGGCCUGGGCAUGGGACCGCACACCACACGCACUUUCCCCCUCGCUCCUGCCUUGCCAGUGGGAGGCUUGGGUCAGAACCACACAUGAGGGGUCUCAGCCUGGAGAUGUUUCACGUCUGGGUGCCUCACCUGUCGCCUUCCCCAUUUGCCCCGUGUUCUGCCUCAUCUCCAUUGUCUUUCCACUGCUCCUCUUGGCCUUGGAGGUCCACGUGGGGUCUGGGCCGGUGUGGUCACAUAGCAUUACUAGCCAGCUUGCUCAGCAUUGCAAGGGUAGCGUGUCUGGCCUCUUGAAACCAGGUGAUGCCCAUCUGGAACCCUCAGGACAGCCCUGGGAAUCUCUGAUCUGCCUUUAGGGUCCUCUUGUCUUGAGAGAUGUUACGUGUUUGCAGCUGAACUGCUCACAGUGGUGUCCUGGAGAACCUAGGAAUUCAGACAGCCUUCCCACUUUCCUUCUGGCUCCUCCCCAUGCUGGCCCCUUGGCCAUCAGCCCUUGGUCACACCCCCAUGGGUGUCCUUAGGCUUGCUUGGAUAUGCCCUUUGUGUUCUCUCUGGAGCAGCUUUCUCAUUUUUUGCAACAUGGAUGGAAGUUUCCAAAUCAUCAAGUUCUGAUUUCUUUAGAUGAGUUUAUCCCUGUGUCAGUUUUCUGUCCACACGUUUUAAAGGUAAAUGUUUCCAGAGAAGCCAGGCUCCCCGCAACCCCGUUGGCUCCCCACCCCCCUCCCCUGACCCUGCACUUUGCUUGGAGGCGUGGCCAUCACGUUCCCAGGUCCCUUGCACACAAGCACUGCCUUUCCAGAAGCCACUGUGCUCUCUGCCACCUGUGCCAGCCCUGCUUGGGACCCUGUUGCUGCUGCCCAUGGAGACCGGGGCUCUCCCAGCUGUGCCCACAUGUAUAGGUGUUUGUUGCUCAGUUCCUCCCACAGUUUUCUGUCUUCGUCUGUCUGGGCUCCGUGACAGAAUUCCAGAGUCUCGGGUCGGAAAGCCUGAGAUCAGGGUACUGGCCUGAUUGGGGGGUGGCUCUUCCUCCUGUAUGUUCUUAGAAGGAAACUAGUUUCUGAAUAUGCCUCCCUCAGCACUCUGUGGGCCUGGAAGUCCACCUGCCGACACCCUCAGCAGACGCUCAGCCAUGUGCUGUCCCCUGACUGCCAGCCUGUUCCUGGGGAAUGAAAUAAACUGCCUUCCCUGUGGGCUGGACCAGGCUUGUUCCCUGAGCCCUGAUGAUGGGCUCUUUCCAAGGCCCUGGCUGCCCCAUGCAGUUUCAUGGGCAGACAGCCCCCGGUGGCUGGAGUGCUCGGCCAUCCACAAGGCAGUGGCAGCAUCUCCCCCACGACUGGACUCACGUGGCUCGGAGCUUUGAGAGAAGGCAGAGAGGGCCUGCCCUGGAGGGUGAGAUGUCCACUCUGGGAGCAUGAGGCAGGUGCCAUACCCGCCUGCGGGCUGGAGGGCUGACCCUCAGGGAGGCAUCAGGGCAGUGUGAAGAGAAGCCACACAGUCGCUGCAGAGUCCAGGCCGGCGGGGGACAGGCAGACACAGCCCACUGAUGCAUGGCCUCGUAACUGGACACGGACGGCAUGCCUGAGGAAGACCAGUGUGCACACAGAGGGGAUGGCCUGGGGGGCACGGGACUCCAGAGGGCAGUGCUGGGGCAGGGCCAUGCCCUGCCAUGCUGAGGGCACAGAGGCCUUGCCCCCUGUGGCAGGCAGUCACAGGUGUGUCUCGGGUUCCCACGAGGAGCAGGGCGAUGUGCUCUAGUUAGGGAGAGGUGGCCACACCAGAGGCCCAAGGCCAAGGGUCUCGGAGUGGGGGUUGCAAAGCCUCUGGACUAUGACCUUGGUCCACUGUGGACUUUGUUACAAUAAUAAUGACAUUAAAGACGUGUUUUUAUAA
Mustela lutreola (European mink) is the source of this 1911-nucleotide long non-coding RNA. RefSeq lists it as uncharacterized. Lineage: Eukaryota; Metazoa; Chordata; Mammalia; Carnivora; Mustelidae. The record is from RefSeq and is a predicted model, not a curated record. The transcript is spliced from 2 exons.